This 372-nucleotide RNase P RNA is filed under the name Kordiimonas lacus. Its description in RNAcentral is "Kordiimonas sp. S3-22 Bacterial RNase P class A". It matches the Rfam family "Bacterial RNase P class A". Rfam says of the family: Ribonuclease P (RNase P) is a ubiquitous endoribonuclease, found in archaea, bacteria and eukarya as well as chloroplasts and mitochondria. Its best characterised activity is the generation of mature 5'-ends of tRNAs by cleaving the 5'-leader elements of precursor-tRNAs. Cellular RNase Ps are ribonucleoproteins. Lineage: Bacteria; Pseudomonadati; Pseudomonadota; Alphaproteobacteria; Kordiimonadales; Kordiimonadaceae. The record is from Rfam by way of RNAcentral.
GCAGAUGGCUGGAUGGCCGCCGCUACCUCAGGGUAGGGGAGGAAAGUCCGGGCUCCACAGAAACACGGUGCCGGUUAAUGGCCGGCGAGGGCGACCUCAGGGAAAGUGCCACAGAAAGCAAACCGCCUAUGCCCGAAUGGGCAGGUAAGGAUGAAAGGGUGCGGUAAGAGCGCACCGCGGUCCUGGUAACAGGACUGGCAGGGUAAACCCCACCGGGAGCAAGACCAAUAGGGAUGGUUGCCUUAAGUGGCAGGCGGGUUUCUGCGCCACCGUCCGGGUCGGUUGCUUGAGCGGCAUGGCAACAUGUCGCCUAGAGGAAUGGUCAUCACCAGUUUACUGGUACAGAACCCGGCUUACACGCCAUCUGCCACU